This 7747-nucleotide long non-coding RNA is filed under the name Brassica napus (rape). Its description in RNAcentral is "long non-coding RNA (BNAP_LNC002757)". Lineage: Eukaryota; Viridiplantae; Streptophyta; Magnoliopsida; Brassicales; Brassicaceae. The record is from RNAcentral.
UUUUAACUAUGGACAAUUUGGCUACAUCCAAGGGGAGUUGUGAAGAGGCAUAGCAAUGGAUUUGACUUGAAGAUAGCUAUCGAGAGCGUCCAUGCCACUUUCACGACAAUUACCACUCAUCUUGUAGCCACCGUAAGGCGAGUCGAGGUCAAAUGCGAAGUAGCAGUUAACCCAAAUGACUCCAGCUUUGAUUGAUCUCGAAACCGUGUUGAUCACGUCAACGUUUUGGCUCACUAUUCCAGCUGCUAGACCGUAUUUCGUGUUGUUUGCGCAUUUGAUUCCUUCCUCCAUAGUCCUGUGGAAGCAAAUAUAUAUAGAGAUGUUUAGUGUUCUAUGGAAUGUGAUCAAGAAUGAGAAGAGAAAAUGGGGGAGUUUUCGUUUGCUUUACUUGAAUUUCAUCAAAGACAUAACUGGUCCAAAGAUUUCUUCUUUGUAUAUCUUCAUAUCGUCCUGUAACCAACAAAAAUAAAAACCCAUUAUUUAAAACAAACUUGUUACUAGGGACUUACGCGACAUUUCUGGUCCCGGUCCUAGUCCGAAGGAUUCAAGAAAUGUGUAAUAUUACCGUGACAUCUGCGAAUAUAGUUGGUUCGAUGUAGUAUCCUUUGUCUCCAAUAGCGUUCCCUCCAGUUAAUAACGUAGCUCCUUCGUUUUUGCCAUGCUCAAUGUAAGAGAGAACCUUCUCAUAUUGUUUUUUAUCCACCUGAAGACACCAAAAAAUAAUCAACUAAUAUAAUCUACUUAAAUCUACUCAUAAUCAAAGAUCAAUGAACUAGUCUAUUUUACUUGAGGUCCUUGUCGAGAAGUGGAAUCAAAAGGGUCACCAACGGGCCAGUCUUUAACCUUCUCCACCAUUUUCGCUACAACCUUAUCGUAUAUACCUUCUUGGACAAACACACGAGAGCUCGCCACGCAGAUCUCACCCUGCACAAUCCACCAAAUAUGUUUUACAUAACAAUGUCACAAUAUUGGUUGAUAUUUGGCCUCUAUGAUAUUAUACCUUGUUGUAGAAGCAACCUAGUAGCGCAAGUUCGGCGGCUUUGUUAACAUCUGCAUCAUCGAAAAUGAGAAGAGGCGAUUUUCCGCCUAAUUCAAGGGACACUUUUUUUAGAUUGCUUGUGGCUGCGGCUUGCAUUAUCUUCCUCCCAACAUCAGUUGAUCCCGUGAAACUAACCUGAGCACAAAAAAACAAAAGACAUGAAUUCACAUACAACUAACAAAAGCCCCAUUACUUGAUGAAUCCACAAACUAAUUAUCUCAUAAGACGAUAGUUAUUUUACUUUGUCAAUGUCCAUAUGAGAGGCAAUGGCAGCUCCAGCAGUUGACCCAAAUCCAGUCACCACGUUGAUCACGCCAUCAGGAAAUCCCGCCUGUGAAUUUUCAACAAAAAUAAAUACAAUGUUUAGAUAGUUAAGCUUUAAUUUCUUCGAUUGCCUACACGUUUGGCAUUACUAUGAACAAGCUAUAGUUGUGUGUUUACUUUUAAAAUGAUACCAAAGCUUUUAGUGUUUUAUGUGUAUGGAUUGUUUCUUUGUUUAUGUGUAUGGAUUGUUUCUUUGUUUAUAUUUGUUUAUGUGUAUGGAUUGUUUCUUUGUUUAUGUUAUAUAGUAUUAAGAGUAAACGUAUACGUAACCACAAUAUACAAAUUACAAACAAACAAACAAACAAAGCGAUAUUUUAUAUGAUUUUAGAAAAUGUUUGUUUUAAAAAAUUAUGUAUAGAACAACCACGAUAUACAAACAAACAAAGAGAUAUUUCAUAUGAUACUAUUAUUUAGAAAAAGUUUGUUUUAAAAAAAUUAUGUAUAGAACAUACUUAAUAAAUAAAAAAUGAGAUAGAUAAACUUACUUCUUUCGAGAGAUGAGCAUAGAACAAAGCAGAGAGUGGUGUCUGCUCUGCUGGCUUGACCACCAUGGUGCAACCAGCAGCUAAAGCCGGAGCCACUUUCAUGGCAAACAUAAUGCUUGGAAAAUUCCAAGGGAUGAUGUGGCCGACCACUCCAAUAGGUUCUUUAAGUGUGUAUCCGAACAAAGACGGACGUGUCAUUCGAAGUGUCUCGCCGUGGAUUUUAUCCGCCGCACCCGCAUAGUACCGGAAAUGUCCGGCUGCAGCCGGAAUGUCAUUCAUUUUUCCCACUUGGAACAAUUUUCCGCCGUCAACCGCAUCAAGAGCAGCCAAUUCUUCAAUAUUCUGCUGUAUUAAGUCUGUAUAUUUGUUGAUAAUCCUUGCCCUCUCCUGAUCCGAUUAAAAUCACCGAAGCAUACAAUUAUAAACGACCUUAUCAAAAUUAGUUUAUUACACAUAAAACUAAAUUUGUAUAUAUACAUGGAAAAUUAAAAUAUGAUCAUAAUUAAUAUGAAUCAAUCUAUUUAUCAUCAUUUAGUUUUAGGUUGAAAAUUCAUCUAAUUUAAUAAUACAAACAACCUUAUCAAAACAAGAUUGUUAUAAAAUAUAAGUAAACUUAGAUAGAGUUUUCUGAAUAUGGGUAAACGUUUUUCUUAAUAACAUGAAAAUGACUUCGUGACACUAACAGCAAAAAUAAGUCAAAUCUGGACUCGUUCCCUAUACUGUAAAAAAUACACGAAUCAGUAUGGAUAUAUACUAAGAUACAACCCUAAUAAAUACAUAUUUAUUAGUGACCCACUACGUAUGGGACCACAUCAAUCAAUAAAUAUCAAUUAUUUUUUAUUUUAUAUAUUAUUUAUCAAUAAUUUGCUAACCAAAUUAAAAACGGGUAGGUACAAUAAAAAACAUGAGGUGAGAAAGAUAGGAACGUACGAAGCCAGUCAUUCGAGGCCAAGGACCAUGAUCGAAGGCGUGACGUGCAGCGUUAACGGCCAAGUCAACGUCUUCUUUGUCUCCUGCUGCUAUUUUCGCGAUCACUUCACCGUUCCUUGGGUCUAUGGUUUCAAAGGUUUUACCUUUAAAGUUUAAACACAUUAAAACAAAAACUGAAUGAUCAAAUAUUAUGUUUCAGAAAAAGAUUAUGCCAAAUUAAAUCAACCAGUCGGUUCAAUAUUCAAUCACGAGUUUUUACAUCUUCGUUUACAUUGUUAAGAACAAUACUUUAGCAAUAAUAUUAGUAAAAAAAACUUCUAGAAAAGGUUGCACCAAAAAAAAAACUUCUAGAAAAGGAAGAAAAAUAUUAGAGAAGAAAAUUAUAAAUUUGGGCUGAGAAGAGAAAUAGUCAGGUGGGACCAUCAACCACUGGUGUUUGAUAGUAGAACAUGUUUCCAGUCAGGAUAGCUUUUGAUAUAGGUUGUCAGAAGAAAAAAUGUUUCUUCCAACAACUUAAUAGUCAUCCAAAUUAGCCACUGAACUUUUAGUUGUACAUAUUUUAGGGAUUGGUCUAGGCUCAUGAUUCGCAUCCAAUGAAACCAGAUCCGAAGGAUACCGAAACAAAACAUUGGUGUCAUCCCAAAAAUUGAAGUGUUUAACAUGCAUAUAUUACCUGGUUCUCAAAAUAUCAAAAAUAUCUGUGUGGAUUAUACGUAUCCUAAAUCAUAAUUGUUUCAAGUUUCAUAUAUUUCAGAACGAUCAAAACAUUUUCAAUCUUUUUGGGGAGACGUAAUUUGGUUAAAUGCACAGAGAAGAAUCUGAGGCAGGGAUUUAGAUAGUCAAAGCCAAAAUCAGAAAAUAGGAAGGAUCUUGAUACAUAUUUUCUUCUGUUAAUGUCAACGUUUUGGAAUUGUGAGAUUAAGUAGAUAAGUAGUGAAAUUUAAAAACCUGAAGCAGCAUCAAGAAACUGGCCGUUAAUGAAAAGCUUGGUGAAUUUGAUCUCCGGUAACUUCGCCGUCGCGCCUCCGUUGCAUUUACCGUUCUCCAUCUUUCUCCUUUUUUUCUCUCUCUCUCUCUGUUCAGAGGACAAUAGAAGGACAGAGAGGUUAUGUAUGUAUUUAUAUCCAAGCCUCCCGUUUCACACGUCAGCAAGGCAAGUGAUUCAACAAAGUUUCGGAGCAUCAAUAUCCCAAAAACCCAAAUGGAAUGCUUAUUAUUAUUAUAAUCUUUUUUUUAGUUUUUAAUUAAAAAUAAAAUAAAAACAGAACCAAUCGUAGACCGCCACGUAUCGUGAGGUCUGCAAAACAGUACAAGAUACACCCAACAAAGUUUCUUAUUCUACGACUAUAAAGCAUGGUUUUUUCAAUAAUCGUGGGCCCCACCACGUAAGAAACGCUCAGCAUACUACGAUGCAGAUGCUCUUAAGGGUGAGGUUUUUCACAAAAUAAUAGACCCCACACCUACAUACACAUAUACAAUAUAUACUUAUACACAUAUGAAUUUUUAGAAUUCCAAUGGGUAAAAGCCCAGUAGUCUAAUAUACUAAACUGAAAAAGAAGGGGGGGAGAUAAAUUUUGACUGACCUAUCGUCUUGUUGAUGCAGAUAAAUAUUUAGACAUUAUCUAGUGUUUUUUUUUUCAGCAGACAUUAUUUGCUUACAUUAUUAUUAAGAAUACCAAUGUAAUUCUACUUAAGACUUAUUUAUUAUUACAACCAAUAUUUUUAAAUUCGAUCCGGACACUGAACCGGAUAAUUUUAUGGGUCACCAGGUUAUUGAAUCGAUCGCCGGCAAACCGGGGUGUAAUAAACUGAGAAGGGGGGGGGGAGGUGUAAUAAAUUUUUACCGAGCUAUCGUCUUGUUGAUUCAGGUAAAUAUUUGGACAUUAUCUAGUGUUUUUUUUUUCCAGCAGACAUUAUCUGCUUACAUUAUUAUUAAGAAUACCAAUUUCAUUCUAAUUAAGACUUAUUUAUUAUUACAACCAAUAUUUUUAAACUCGACCCGGACACUGAACCGGAUAAUUUUAUGGGUCACUAGGUUAUUGGAUCGAUUGCUGGCAAACCAGGAAUUAAUUAAUUAAUUAAUUUUUAUAUAAUAAUAUAUUAGCGAUUAAAAAUAUAAUAUAUACUUUAUGUAUCAAACAAAGUUUACAAACUACUUAACUUUAAUUUAUUUUUUUUCAAUUUUAUUUGAUAUAAAAAUAUCAGAAAAUAAUUUAGACUAAGUAACAAUUUUUGUAACAAGUUAAGAGUUAUGGAAUUUGAUAAAAAUAUGAAGACUUAAAAUUCAUAAGUAUUUAAAACAUGAGUGAUAAAAUUAUACUUUAAAUCCAAAAUAAACCAAAAGUAAAACAUCAAAUUGUAAUAGAUUAUUGAUAACAAAAAUAAACUAAUACCAAAUUACAUGAACUAUUUUAUUUCUCUCUCUAUCAUUGUUAACUUCAUUUUCUUCAAGUGACAUAGUUAAAUGUUCAUUAAAAUCUAAAAAUCACAAAUAAAUAGUUUAAUUAGUAUUAUAUAUGAUAAAAACUAAAAACUUAAAUUCUUAAUUAGAAUACAAAACAGAUUCUAGUAACCUAAAUUAAAAAAAAUCUAAGAAUAUAAAGUAAAAAUUACCUACUAAUUCAACCACUGGUUAAAUCGGUAGUCGGAUUCCGGAUUUUAAUGGUUUUUUAUGGGUUUUAUUGGUUUUUUAUGGUUUUUUUAUAAAACUCAAACCAAAUUAUACAUCGGAUCAUCGAGUUUACCAGUUAGACCGCCGAUCCGGACCGGGUUUCAAAACACUGCUUACAACCAUUCAUGUAGGUUUUACCUCUCAUUUGCGUUUAACUGUUUAAAAAAAAUACUAGAACUAUUUUAAUUUUUUAAAGUUUCUUGAAAUCAUUUUUAAGACUCGUAUACAUAAACAUAUGUGGUUGAACAAAAAAAAAACUUAGGUGUUUCCAUGGGAGCGUCUCCAGUGAAAAAAGUAUAUCCAGUCUACACAUAAGAAUAUAAAAUAAUUAAUUUCCAUAGAUGCGUUAAAAAAAUAUGAAUCUUCUUUUAUUUUUUCAAUCAAAAUUGUCAUUGACUUUGAAUAUACUAAAUACUGAGACUCACUACAGUUCUGUAUACAUUGGUGUAAAUGUGAAAGAAAUAAAAAGAAAAUUCGAAAGUGACAGAAAAGUAAAAAUAACCUACAAUACAAUAAAAGGUGGCGGUUCUUCGGCUAAACCGGAGUUCGGUUUAGCCUGUGGGGUUGAUUCCGGGGAGUUUGUGUUUAUGAACACUAAGGUUUAUUUGGAGAAGAGUAAUGGUUUUGAUGAGAUGAUGGAUAGUCCUGGUGAUUCGGAGGAGGAUGAUGAGGAGGAGUAUGAGAGGAGGAGGAAGAAGGGGGAUGAUGCGGCGUCGUAUAAGCUUUUGGCGGAGUCGGUUGAGAGGUUUGGGAAGGUUUUUGAGAAGAUGGAGAGGAGUAAGAAGGAGCAGAUGAAGGAGUUGGAGAAGAUGAGAGGUGAGUUUCAGAGAGAUUUGGAGUUGCAGAAGAAACAGAUUGUGGAGAGAGCUCAGUCUGAGAUCGCUAGGCUACGUGAAGAAGAGGAGGAGAAUCAUCAUGAUGAUGGUGGUGGUGAGAGUGAAGAUGAGGGAAUGGAGAAUGAUUCUGAUGUCAAUCUCAGUGAUUGAAUAAUUUAAUAACUAGGUUUGUAUGUUUGUUUUAUUAGAUUCAAGAAAGAUUAUGUUUUGCAUUUUGGGUAAUUCACAACUGGUAAGUGUUUGUAACUUGUGUUUGAUGGUUACAAGUUUUAUUGAUAUGGAUUAGUAAGGAUUAUUGUAAUAGCCAUGACAAGUGUCUCAAAUCCAUGCAUUGUUUUAUUUCCUCGUCAAGACAUUUUUGGUCUGAGGAUGAAUGCUGCUUCAAGCCUCACCAAGGAGUAAGUCAUUUGGAACAGGCAAUUGAUCAUCAUCAGCUGCAACUGCAAGUGGAUUCUAAAAGUAUUGGGCCAUUUGUUUCGUGAUUUUGAUUUGUAUUUUUUUUUCAAGAAAAGUAACGGCCUGGCCAUGAUUCUAGGAGAGAAAUUUAAAGCAAUUGCAAAAGAUCUCUGGACAUCGAGGCAGCUAUGAUGUGAAUUCAGGCUGUUUAGUGGCCUAUUUCAGUAAGUAUUGUUCGAGCUUCAGUAUUCUCCACUCAUAUCUUGGUUAUGGUACAAGAUUAAUAAUUUAAAGUUAGGUACAUGUCAAAACCAUAUACCAAACCAAAUUCGUAUAGUUAUCAUUUACACAUUUAAUAGAAUCUAACGGGAACGGGAGGUGCGGAUGCUGGUGGAGUGAGAGAUAUACAUAGACAUUAGAAAUGUAGAUUUCUGAAAUAGCUAUAAGACUCCUUGACAUGCAAUUGGACACUAUAAUCAUUGUUAAACGGAGAUCCAGCUACACGUACUGAUAAAAUUUGUUGCAAAAAAAAAAAGAAGAAGCAAUUGUUGACAUCCUAAUCCGAAGAUCCUUACUGCUCGAAUAAGAUUUGCUAAAAAGGAGUGUACACGUUUGAACGAAAAAUCACUUGUACGAGACAAAUAAUAAACCUCUUUUGUUAACUAGUGUUUCAAAAAAUAACAAAACUCUUAUUGAUUUAGUAAAUGGACAAAAGAAAAACGUACUGUAAAAAAAAGAUCACACAUGCUUUUAUUAAUGAUUACGUUUGUAUUUUAACUAUGGACAAUUUGGCUACAUCCAAGGGGAGUUGUGAAGAGGCAUAGCAAUGGAUUUGACUUGAAGAUAGCUAUCGAGAGCGUCCAUGCCACUUUCACGACAAUUACCACUCAUCUUGUAGCCACCGUAAGGCGAGUCGAGGUCAAAUGCGAAGUAGCAGUUAACCCAAAUGACUCCAGCUUUGAUUGAUCUCGAAACCGUGUUGAUCACGUCAACGUUUUGGCUCACUAUUCCAGCUGCUAGACCGUAUUUCGUGUUGUUUGCGCAUUUGAUUCCUUCCUCCAUAGUC